UCUUAUUAUAUUAUUUAUUAAUCUUAUUAAUUCUAAUUAAUGUUUGUUAUUAAUUAUUUUCUGUUUAUCGCUAUAUUUAUUAUUGUCUCUCAGUGUCAAGACCAGUGGUAGACCACACUCCAGAGGUACACAGUGUGGUAGACCACACUCCAGAGGUACAUAGUGUGGGUAGACCACGCUCCAGAGGUACACAAUGUGGUAGACCACACUCCAGAGGUACACAGUGUGGUAGACCACGCUCCAGAGGUACACAGUGUGGUAGACCACGCUCCAGAGGUACACAGUGUGGUAGACCACGCUCCAGAGGUACACAGUGUGGUAGACCACGCUCCAGAGGUACAUAGUGUGGGUAGACCACGCUCCAGAGGUACACAGUGUGGUAGACCACACUCCAGAGGUACACAGUGUGGUAGACCACACUCCAGAGGUACACAGUGUGGGUAGACCACACUCCAGAGGUACACAGUGUGGGUAGACCACGCUCCAGAGGUACACAGUGUGUUGAACAUGCAAAAGUGUCUGUCUGUCGUCUUGUGUGAAGAACCGCUGUC
Molecule: long non-coding RNA, 551 nt
Organism: Brienomyrus brachyistius
Lineage: Eukaryota; Metazoa; Chordata; Actinopteri; Osteoglossiformes; Mormyridae
Exons: 3
Source: RefSeq, a predicted model, not a curated record